CACAUCUGUGCAGACCCAGUUCCCAAACAAGGUCACGUCUCAGGUACCCAAGGUUGUGUCUUUUGCAGUCCACACCAGGCAGUCACUGGAGGGUGUGCAAGAGCCUGAGAUGUCCCCAAGGCCAACUUCACCAUCUGAUCCUGAGUUCCACCCACUUGCUUAGAGUACGACAUUCUGGGCGACCAAGCUCCGAAGGAUCACAUAGAAAAGGGAACACCACCGAAGACUUCCGGGGAGACUUAGGGAAGCCGUCGUUUUCAGGAAGAAUUGGACUUCUCAUUUGGGUAAAGUUCAUAUAUAUUAAUAAAUUAGUGCUGCCUGUCAUUGUUAUUAGGUCCCUAGAAUUGGGUCCAAGACAGGAUACUUGCUGAUUUCCUGGAAUACAUGAGACAUCCUUCCCUAACGAAGAGGCUUUGAGAUCUGACCUGCCUCUCUGGGAAACCACUAGGCUUUUGAUCUGGUAUAAACUCAUCACAACUCCUCCUGAAACAUCUUUAACAUAGAUAGAGAUAGGCAGUGUGAACCUUCAGCGAGUGAGACAGCAGAGAAAUUUAGGCUGGCUAAGCAAAUGUAAACAGGAUCAAAGAGAAUCUCUUCAAAGAGGAAGAACUUUUUAAGCAGUUAUUAAAGACCCAUCUCCAAAUUGCUUGUACGUUAAUUAUAAAUCAAGUACUCUAGAAACACCCAUUGAUAAGUGAUUUUAUGCAAAUUAUAAAUCACCGCAGAGAGCUCAUUCACAAAAUGAGAUGUGCACUAAUUACAAAUCAAGCAACUUAAACAUACACAUAUAGGAUUGUAUAUGUGCUAAUUACAAAGGCAUUUUAGACGCUAUCGUUUACAAAUUAAAUAUGUGCUCAUGGCCCUCUAAAUACUUUACAAAAUUCCAUUUACCGAUGAUCCUCAUGCUAACUACACAACAAACAAUGUGAAACCUGCAUUUGCAAAACUCCAUGUGCUAAUUACACAACACUUUAAAGACACUAGUAUAGAAGUGAUUUAUGUGCUAAUGACAUACCCAACACCUUGGAAAACUCCCCAUACAAAUGAUUUAUGUGUAAUUACACACCAGACACUCUAGGAACACCCAUGUGCAAAUGAUUUAUGUACUCAUUACACCAAUACUUAAUUUCAAAAAUGUCUAAUAACAAAUCACUUGUAUGCUAAUCACAAAUCCAAAUACUUCUUUGCGAUUGAUGUAUGUUCUAAUUAUUAGCUGUUCUUAUCUGUUUCUUCUAAGGACCCACUGACAUCGACGGAUUGACAGCUUCCUUCUGAUUGGUGCUAUUAUCAACAUCAAUAAAACAUUCAAGUUCAUGAUGGAA
This 1322-nucleotide long non-coding RNA is filed under the name Chinchilla lanigera (long-tailed chinchilla). Its description in RNAcentral is "lncRNA (ENSCLAG00000024506.1)". Lineage: Eukaryota; Metazoa; Chordata; Mammalia; Rodentia; Chinchillidae. The record is from RNAcentral.